RNAcentral lists this ribosomal RNA (253 nucleotides) under uncultured bacterium. RNAcentral describes it as "partial 16S ribosomal RNA". It matches the Rfam family "Bacterial small subunit ribosomal RNA", at positions 524 to 776 of the family's 1533-position model. The record is from RNAcentral.
UACGAGGGGGGCAAGUGUUGUUCGGAAUCACUGGGCGUAAAGGGAGCGUAGGCGGGCUCUUAAGUUGGAUGUUUAAAACCGGGGCCCAACCCCGGCGUGGCAUCCAAAACUGGGAGUCUUGAAUGGAACAGAGGCUAGUGGAAUUGGAGGUGUAGCGGUGAAAUGCGUAGAUAUCGUAAGGAAGACCAGUGGCGAAGGCGGGUCUCUGGACAGUUCCUGACGCUGAGGAGCGAAAGCGUGGGGAGCGAACAGG